AAUGAAAUGCCUGAAAAAGGAUUACUUUGAUAGAGUAAAUCAUACACUAAAGUGUUUUCGUUA
This 63-nucleotide transfer RNA is filed under the name Morphostenophanes yunnanus. RNAcentral describes it as "tRNA-Ile". The record is from RNAcentral. Lineage: Eukaryota; Metazoa; Arthropoda; Insecta; Coleoptera; Tenebrionidae.